CGUAGUGGCGAACGGGUGAGUAACACGUGAGCAACGUGCCCAAGACUCUGGAGUAACUUCGGGAAACCGGAGCUAAUACUGGAUACGAGACGUAAAGGCAUCUUUAGCGUCUGGAAAGAAUUUCGGUCUUGGAUCGGCUCACGGCCUAUCAGCUUGUUGGUGAGGUAAUGGCUCACCAAGGCGACGACGGGUAGCCGGCCUGAGAGGGUGACCGGCCACACUGGGACUGAGACACGGCCCAG
RNAcentral lists this ribosomal RNA (242 nucleotides) under uncultured Actinomycetes bacterium. RNAcentral describes it as "uncultured actinobacterium partial 16S ribosomal RNA". It matches the Rfam family "Bacterial small subunit ribosomal RNA", at positions 91 to 334 of the family's 1533-position model. Lineage: Bacteria; Bacillati; Actinomycetota; Actinomycetes. The record is from RNAcentral.